GAUGAACGCUGGCGGCGUGCCUAAUACAUGCAAGUCGAGCGAACACACGAUGAGCUUGCUCUCCUGACGUUAGCGGCGGACGGGCGAGUAACACGUGCAUCACCUACCUAUUUGACUUGGAUAAUUUCGGGAAGCCGCAGCCACUACUGGCUCAUAUAUCCUACCGCAUGGUUCAAUAGUGAAUGACGGCUUUCGUGUCUCAUUUAGCUGGAUCCGCGCUGGAUUAGCUAGUUGGUAAGGUAACGGCUUACCAAGGCGACGAUGCGUAGCCGACCUGAGAGGGUGAUCGGCCACACUGGAACUGAGACACGGUCCAGACUCCUACGGGAGGCAGCAGUAGGGAAUCUUGGGCAAUGGGCGCAAGCCUGAUGGAGCAACGCCGCGUGAGUGAAGAAGGUCUUCGGGUCGUAAAACUCUUUUGUUAGGGAAGAAAAGAAGUAUGUGAAAAUAUGGCUGUUUUGACGGUACCUAAAGAAUAAGCAACGGCUAACUACGUG
RNAcentral lists this ribosomal RNA (497 nucleotides) under uncultured bacterium. RNAcentral describes it as "partial 16S ribosomal RNA". It matches the Rfam family "Bacterial small subunit ribosomal RNA", at positions 28 to 507 of the family's 1533-position model. The record is from RNAcentral.